CCGGGAAAGGCUGAUUGCGCCGUUGUGAAUCGCAUGUGUUUAGGAGCCGCUGUGGAGACUUAAAGAGCCCGUCGUUCUAGUGAUCGUGCCAACUACCAUUCCAAUAAACUUCAUGUCUUAUUUUGCUGUGGUACAGAGUCUCUCUUUGUGGCCCUGGCUUUUCUGGAACUUUGUAUGAAGACCAGGCUAGACUCGAACUCACGGAGAUCACUUUCCUCUGCCUCCUGAGCGUUGGAAUUAAAGGUAUUCAUCACUA
Molecule: long non-coding RNA, 256 nt
Organism: Rattus norvegicus (Norway rat)
Lineage: Eukaryota; Metazoa; Chordata; Mammalia; Rodentia; Muridae
Source: RefSeq, a predicted model, not a curated record